GCGAAAGUGGCGGAAUCGGUAGACGCGCCGGGUUUAGGUCCCGGUGGGGUUGAUAGCCCCGUGAGAGUUCGAGUCUCUCCUUUCGCACCA
Molecule: transfer RNA, 90 nt
Filed under: Halorhodospira halophila
Lineage: Bacteria; Pseudomonadati; Pseudomonadota; Gammaproteobacteria; Chromatiales; Ectothiorhodospiraceae
Also listed under: 1 other name
Description: tRNA-Leu
Rfam family: tRNA
About the family: Transfer RNA (tRNA) molecules are approximately 80 nucleotides in length.
Source: RNAcentral